UUUCUGCACUAGGGGUGCCCACUUUGGCUGAGAUGCAAGCGCAAGCUUCGAUCCCUCAAAACUCGAUCAGGAUAAUACCUGCGUGAGGAAGUGCGGCGCAUUUCUG
Molecule: non-coding RNA, 106 nt
Filed under: Planococcus sp. PAMC 21323
Lineage: Bacteria; Bacillati; Bacillota; Bacilli; Caryophanales; Caryophanaceae
Also listed under: 1 other name
Description: TPP riboswitch aptamer (THI element)
Rfam family: TPP riboswitch aptamer (THI element)
About the family: Vitamin B(1) in its active form thiamin pyrophosphate (TPP) is an essential coenzyme that is synthesised by coupling of pyrimidine and thiazole moieties in bacteria. The previously detected thiamin-regulatory element, thi box was extended, resulting in a new, highly conserved RNA secondary structure, the THI element, which is widely distributed in eubacteria and also occurs in some archaea.
Source: Rfam by way of RNAcentral